GUGGGGAAUCUUGCGCAAUGGGCGAAAGCCUGACGCAGCCAUGCCGCGUGAAUGAUGAAGGUCUUAGGAUUGUAAAAUUCUUUCACCGGGGACGAUAAUGACGGUACCCGGAGAAGAAGCUCCGGCUAACUUCGUGCCAGCAGCCGCGGUAAUACGAAGGGGGCUAGCGUUGCUCGGAAUUACUGGGCGUAAAGGGCGCGUAGGCGGACAGCUUAGUCAGAGGUGAAAGCCCAGGGCUCAACCUUGGAAUUGCCUUUGAGACUGGCUGUCUUGAGUUUGGGAGAGGUGGGUGGAACUCCGAGUGUAGAGGUGAAAUUCGUAGAUAUUCGGAAGAACACCAGUGGCGAAGGCGACUCACUGACCCAAUACUGACGCUGAGGCGCGAAAGCGUGGGGAGCAAACAGGAUUAGAUACCCUGGUAGUCC
Molecule: ribosomal RNA, 425 nt
Filed under: uncultured bacterium
Lineage: Bacteria
Description: partial 16S ribosomal RNA
Rfam family: Bacterial small subunit ribosomal RNA
Source: RNAcentral